CUCCUACGGGAGGCAGCAGUGGGGAAUAUUGGACAAUGGGCGCAAGCCUGAUCCAGCCAUGCCGCGUGUGUGAAGAAGGCCUUCGGGUUGUAAAGCACUUUCAGCGAGGAGGAAGGGUGGUGUGUUAAUAGCACAUCAUUUUGACGUUACUCGCAGAAGARSCACCGGCUAACUCUGUGCCAGCAGCCGCGGUAAUAC
This 198-nucleotide ribosomal RNA is filed under the name uncultured Gammaproteobacteria bacterium. Its description in RNAcentral is "partial 16S ribosomal RNA". It matches the Rfam family "Bacterial small subunit ribosomal RNA", at positions 336 to 526 of the family's 1533-position model. The record is from RNAcentral. Lineage: Bacteria; Pseudomonadati; Pseudomonadota; Gammaproteobacteria.